Molecule: ribosomal RNA, 262 nt
Filed under: uncultured bacterium
Lineage: Bacteria
Description: partial 16S ribosomal RNA
Rfam family: Bacterial small subunit ribosomal RNA
Source: RNAcentral
UACGUAGGGUGCGAGCGUUGUCCGGAAUUACUGGGCGUAAAGAGCUCGUAGGCGGGUUUGUCGCGUUCGUCCGUGAAAACUUGGGGGCUCAACCCCAAGCUUGCGGGGCGAUACGGGCAGACUUGAGUACUGGCAGGGGAGGACUGGAAUUCCUGGUGUAGCGGGUGAAAUGCGCAGAUAUCAGGAGGAACACCGGUGGCGAAGGCGGGGUCUCUGGGCAGUAACUGACGCUGAGGAGCGAAAGCGUGGGGUAGCAAACAGG